Molecule: ribosomal RNA, 468 nt
Filed under: uncultured bacterium
Lineage: Bacteria
Description: partial 16S ribosomal RNA
Rfam family: Bacterial small subunit ribosomal RNA
Source: RNAcentral
GACGAACGCUGGCGGCGUGCUUAACACAUGCAAGUCGAACGGAAAGGCCCUGCUUUUGUGGGGUGCUCGAGUGGCGAACGGGUGAGUACCACGUGAGUAACCUGCCCUUGACUUUGGGAUAACUUCAGGAAACUGGGGCUAAUACCGGAUAGGAGCUCCUGCUGCAUGGCGGGGUUUGGAAAGUUUCGGCGGUUGGGGAUGGACUCGCGGCUUAUCAGCUUGUUGGUGGGGUAGUGGCUUACCAAGGCUUUGACGGGUAGCCGGCCUGAGAGGGUGACCGGCCACAUUGGGACUGAGAUACGGCCCAGACUCCUACGGGAGGCAGCAGUGGGGAAUAUUGCACAAUGGGCGGAAGCCUGAUGCAGCAACGCCGCGUGCGGGAUGACGGCCUUCGGGUUGUAAGCCGCUUUCGCCUGUGACGAAGCGUGAGUGACGGUAAUGGGUAAAGAAGCACCGGCUAACUACGUG